Molecule: non-coding RNA, 1142 nt
Organism: Linepithema humile (Argentine ant)
Lineage: Eukaryota; Metazoa; Arthropoda; Insecta; Hymenoptera; Formicidae
Source: RefSeq, a predicted model, not a curated record
AUGUGGGGUGGCAGCCUUGUUCGCGUUCGCGGUAAUUUGCAGCCAUUUUACUUUGAUUUCAUGAUUCGCGCAUUUCACAUUAGGCGCUUAUGCAGCACUUCAACGAUCUCGAGAAAAGCACGCAUCGAGGAAUCGCCGCAUUGAUUAAAAAAGCGCGCCGCAGUAUUGCAGUCGAACUCGAAUAAUUAGCAGCCUGGAGCAAAAAGCGAAGGCAGCGAAAUGGAAUAACAUAGUGGAGAUAGUGCAGAUAGCGGAGAUAGCGGAGAUAGCGGAGACAGCGGAGACAGCGGAGACAGCUGAUACAUCGAUCGAUAAGCUUUGUGCGUAUUCGGUGUUAUAAAACGUAUUCGUUCCGUCGUAUAAUAAAACGCGCGUCGGGAGUGCCGUUAAUGCCGGCCGGGGGUGUCAUAAUAGUUUCGUGCGAGUAUGAAAAGCUGUAUUCUGGCGAAUCAUAUAGACGAACGCACCAUAAAUUUUGAACGCAUGAUAAAUAUUGGGACACGAUCGAACCUCUUUCGACUUCAGGUUUUCUUCUCGACUUUGAGCUCGGCUCGGAGGAGGGAAGGAUCGGUUUUAUAACGGGAUCCCGAUAAAACCGUGGACCCCUUCAGUGUCAGACGUGUCAACAUGCCGGAAAGCAUGGGGUUGCUUAAUUGCAACUAUGAAACAUAAGAUCUGUGGCAUAGAAGUCAACUCAGCGACUUCGUCACUUCCGUUUGUUUGAUACCGAAAUGCUACUGGGACACCACACGCUAUCCGGUUGACCCCAUCAUGAUCAAUCGCAUCUUACUUUCUUCGAGCUUAUGCUCUCUGCUUUGAGAUAAUCGUGUCCCAAUUGGUAAGUGCGAUCGUCUGAAACGCGGAUGGAAUUCGCACGUAACGUCGCAUCUUGGACAAUUUGAUUCGCUUGCGACGUCGGGAGUGCCGUUUGAAGUGAGUUCGCGCGAUUUUCGUAUUCGGGUACGCGCGCGAGCAAGGCGCGCGCCGCGAACGUGUGUGAGUCAAUGUGAGUGUUUCGAUGGACCGCUGGGAGGAGGAGGAGGUCCAGGGGGCAUCAGAUGACGUCAGAGAAACAUUGCUAUCAUUUGAUAUAUACUCUGGAUGCAUCAUAUACUUCGCUGCUGCUUGAUUUGACCGAUCGG